UACGGGGGGAGCAAGCGUUGUUCGGAUUUACUGGGCGUAAAGCGCGUGUAGGCGGCCACGCAGGUCCGUUGUGAAAACUAGAGGCUCAACCUCUAGACGUCGACGGAAACCGUGUGGCUAGAGUCCGGAAGAGGAGAGUGGAAUUCCUGGUGUAGCGGUGAAAUGCGCAGAUAUCAGGAAGAACACCAAUGGCGAAGGCAGCUCUCUGGGACGGUACUGACGCUGAGACGCGAAAGCGUGGGGAGCGAACAGG
This 253-nucleotide ribosomal RNA is filed under the name uncultured bacterium. Its description in RNAcentral is "partial 16S ribosomal RNA". It matches the Rfam family "Bacterial small subunit ribosomal RNA", at positions 524 to 776 of the family's 1533-position model. The record is from RNAcentral.